This 107-nucleotide non-coding RNA is filed under the name Anopheles sinensis. Lineage: Eukaryota; Metazoa; Arthropoda; Insecta; Diptera; Culicidae. The record is from RNAcentral.
GUGUCAUUUGAAAGGAGAGCAGGUUAGCACUCCCCUUGACAAGGAUGGAACACACAAUCUGAGAUCAGUAGGCACUUUCAGAAGAAAGCUGAUCUCGGCCAUUUUUU